Long non-coding RNA from Xenopus laevis (African clawed frog), 101 nucleotides. RefSeq lists it as uncharacterized. Lineage: Eukaryota; Metazoa; Chordata; Amphibia; Anura; Pipidae. The transcript has 2 exons. The record is from RefSeq and is a predicted model, not a curated record.
UCAGCAUAGAAAAUGGCAUUUAUUCAUACUUUUUAAAGAAACAGGAUUUCUGAACAGAAAAGAAACUUGAAGAAGAAAAAAAAAAGGAUCAGAAGGGAUAA